UUACGGCUAUAUCACGUUAAAAACACCGGCUCUCGUACGAUCACCGAAGUUAAGCAACGUCAAGCCUGGCUAGUCUCUAAAUGAGUGACUGCUUGUGAAUACUAGGUGCAGUA
Acanthosepion pharaonis is the source of this 113-nucleotide non-coding RNA. Lineage: Eukaryota; Metazoa; Mollusca; Cephalopoda; Sepiida; Sepiidae. The record is from the annotation of a GenBank genome assembly.